RNAcentral lists this transfer RNA (90 nucleotides) under Gloeobacter violaceus SpSt-379. RNAcentral's name for it is "tRNA-Ser". It matches the Rfam family "tRNA". From Rfam's summary of the family: Transfer RNA (tRNA) molecules are approximately 80 nucleotides in length. Their secondary structure includes four short double-helical elements and three loops (D, anti-codon, and T loops). Lineage: Bacteria; Bacillati; Cyanobacteriota; Cyanophyceae; Gloeobacterales; Gloeobacteraceae. The record is from RNAcentral.
GGAGAGGUGGCAGAGCGGUCGAUUGCGCUCGUUUGGAAGACGAGAAAUUGCUAACAAAGCAGUUCGAGGGUUCAAAUCCCUCCCUCUCCU